Molecule: long non-coding RNA, 2518 nt
Organism: Syngnathoides biaculeatus (alligator pipefish)
Lineage: Eukaryota; Metazoa; Chordata; Actinopteri; Syngnathiformes; Syngnathidae
Exons: 4
Source: RefSeq, a predicted model, not a curated record
GUUUCGCUUUCACGGUUUAGGUCGAAAUCUGUCAAAGCAGCCGAAUAUGAGGAAGUUGCCCUCAACGGCGUAACUGGCCGCCGAUUUAAUAAUAAUAAAAAUUGCCCAUACACUCCAAAAUAAGAGGAUAGCAUUGUGCGAGAUGGAAAAAGUAAUCACACCUGAAGUAAAAGUAGGUUGCCGUAUCGCGUCAUCUUUUUCCACGUCACUGAAGGUGGAGCGGUACACACACCUGCCUUUGGUGCGGGCAGUGUUGGAUCGAUUCCCACUCAGUGAUUGUGUCGAUAUCUGCCCUGCAACUGACUGGCCACCAGUUCAGGGUGUAGUCUGCCUUUCGCCCGAAGCUAGCCGGGAUAGGCUCCAGCUUCCCUGCAACCCUGGUGAGAAUAAGCGGCUUGGAUGAUGACAUGACAUUUCAAAAAUUGUCGCGUCAUGACACUAGCCAAUCAGACAGUGUAAAUAGAAGGUAUCAUUUACACACAUAGGCAAAUGCCACAGCCUUGCUCCCCAUACACACCCUCGAGCUUCGUGAAGAAUUUUAAUUGAUAAAUUAAAUCUACCUCUGUUUAGUAAUGAAAGUUAAAACGAAAGAAUUGGACAGGUCUCAAGGCAAAAAAAAAAAAGGAUAAAUGUUCAUACAAUCCAUGUCUCUCUCAUCCAUUGUGAGUAGACAAUAACAAGCAGCAAGAUUGUGCUCAAAUGUCUAACAUGUUUCCCCUCCAUACUGAAUACCGUUUAACAUGGUGUUUAAUAAACAAUUGAUGGUCCCUUUUUAAAUCCCUCCCACAUUAUUUGGAUUCCCACAUAUUUUCUCGGCAGGAAAGCUCCUGCUCCAUUAUCACUGGCUCCAGGACAUGCGCUGCUGGACUAUGAUUGAUUGUUGUAUACUUGUAAAACACGCCCUACUGCGAUCAGGCGUUUUUUUUUUUUUUAAAAAAAGUGACUUAAAGUGCCACUAUCAUGAAAUGCAUCAUUUUUAGUAAGUUAUUAAUGAAAAAAACAGCAGCCAACAUGGAUCCAUGCGUUUUUUUCCCCACCACAAAACAUGAUUUUGACGUAUACAGCUUUUUGUAACUCCCGCCGUGAAAAGGGAUUUGUUUUCGAAAAGAAUCAAAAAGUGACGUACAUGGCAGGACCGCCCUGAAGGGGACUCGUUUGUGUUUGUUAGUUUGACCUCCGGGAAGGUAGCUCAUUGUUCCUUCGUAUUAGCCAAAAUGCCGGCUCGUCGGAUUGCUGGACAUUGCUUGAACACUCGGGAGGAUGGAUCUAGCCUUCAUAAGUUUGCAAGAGACCCGGUUCGUUGUGAAAAAUGGAUUGCACGGGUGCAAAGGACGAGAGCUUCUGCGUCGGGCUCGCGCGGGAAGGCUGCCGCAUUGCGCCCCGCGGACUAACACAGCUUCGGCCAGGCUGACUCAUACAUACUCUCUGAGAGUCUGUUGCCGCCGCGGCAGUAUGUAUGAGCCAGCCUGGCUGAAGCCGUGGUCGUCCGCGAGCCACAAAGCGGCAGCCUUCGCCGGCUUUGUCGCCGUGUCCGCCAGUCACGGCUUCGGCGCCACGUCCGCCAGUCACGGCUUUGGCUGGGGUGGCUCAUCUUCGGGCCGCUUCAUGGUGUUGUCAUCGCUCACGGCUGAGUAUGCUACAUACUGUCAUACCGUCAGGGAGUCUGUUGUUAGUUAGAAGUGAUCUGCAUAUAAUCUAAAUAUGGCUCCAAACGAUAGGAUAAUAUUGGCCCGGACACUUGACUCGAUUGUGAUACGUUCUCUUCUUCAAAAAGAGCUUCCGUGUCCCACAGUACACAUUAGAGGCCACAGCGUGUUUUCAAUGGCGAAUGUCUGGGGUGACAUCACGGACAGUAAAUGCAGCCAAUAUGGCGACCACUUGGAUGUCGAAUGAGACUUCCGCAACUUUGCGCAUGGAUGACCAAUGAAUACUGUAUUUUUGUCUCCACUCAUAAUUAGUUUUUCGUGUAGACAUUGAAGUGAAUAAUGUGAUAUGUAUUUUUCAUUUCACUAUUUUAGAAUGUUUAUAGGGAUGACACGUUACCUUUAAGUGCGGCAGUGUUAAAAUAUCCUAAAUCUCCUUCGGACCCAACCUUGUCCUAAUACCUAAUCAAAACACAUUUUUGUUCAUAAAUAUGUGAUAUCCAUUUGAAAUGGUCAUCUCAUGACUUCUGCGUCGCCUGCCCUUCCCACAAGACAGGAGCCAAUCAUAUUGUAUCCUGCCGAGAAACUACGUGCGAAUUCCCAUAAUGUAACGGUCCCCCCUUGAGUCUCUGACCAAAUAGGAGCACGAGCCUUUGCACUCUAAACAAGCCAAUAUUAGACAAAGGUGCUUAUGUUAGUACCGUGACGUGUCGUCAUUUCAUUGGUUUGGGUUUUACAGGUACUGUACUUUUGGGAAUGUACAGUCAAGACUUUUUUUUUUUUUCUUGACAGAACAUUUUACUCAUGUACUACUGUCAGGUCAUUCUGACAGUUGAACCAAAUGUGACAAAAAGCGUUGUUUAAAAAAAAUUGCA